AGAGUGAAUAUGACCCAUUUGGUGCUGGACAUGGAUGCAACAGUGUUUCUGCUGGACUGGGAUGUUACUAAAAGAAUCAGAAAGGGUAUGCAUGAAUUGGCGGCCAAAGUUGAUGAUAUGGACGUGGUAUGAUGGGUCCGCUAGGAUCAACUCUAUUCGAAGAGCUUGGGUUGUAUUAUAUUGACCCAGUUGAUGGCCAAAAUAUGGAAGAUUUGAUUUCAGUUCUCCAGGAAGUGGCUUCUUUGGAUUCAACAGGACCUGUUUUGUAAUUGCUUCCUUCUGUCCAUGGUGGGUUCAUGUACCAUCUCUGAAUUCUACCGAGGACAUAAUUGCUUCCUCCUGUCCUAGCGGCUUUAAUCUUUCUUUCUAAGUUGUCCUUUUAUAUGUUAGGAAACCUAUGUAAAUUUAUUUGAUGUUGCUUCUGUUUUCCCUUAAGAAACAGCCAAUUGUAAUGUUGAUCCAUUACCUUCUUAUCCAAAGCUCAGGCAUGAGUCUGUCUUGGCAUUGAUGUUAAUGUAAACAUGAAUGUUGACAUGAA
This is a long non-coding RNA of Macadamia integrifolia, 538 nucleotides long. RefSeq lists it as uncharacterized. Lineage: Eukaryota; Viridiplantae; Streptophyta; Magnoliopsida; Proteales; Proteaceae. The record is from RefSeq and is a predicted model, not a curated record. The transcript is spliced from 2 exons.